UCUCUCAUCGUAUAAUGGAUAAAUUACACACACCAAAUGUACAUCGUGGUUAUGUUGUUUCCGUGUGGGAUCUGGGUUCGAUUCCCAGUGAGAGAA
Non-coding RNA from Pluteus cervinus, 96 nucleotides. The record is from the annotation of a GenBank genome assembly. Lineage: Eukaryota; Fungi; Basidiomycota; Agaricomycetes; Agaricales; Pluteaceae.